Molecule: ribosomal RNA, 464 nt
Filed under: Bacillus aerophilus
Lineage: Bacteria; Bacillati; Bacillota; Bacilli; Caryophanales; Bacillaceae
Description: bacterial SSU rRNA
Rfam family: Bacterial small subunit ribosomal RNA
Source: RNAcentral
CGACCUGAGAGGGUGAUCGGCCACACUGGGACUGAGACACGGCCCAGACUCCUACGGGAGGCAGCAGUAGGGAAUCUUCCGCAAUGGACGAAAGUCUGACGGAGCAACGCCGCGUGAGUGAUGAAGGUUUUCGGAUCGUAAAGCUCUGUUGUUAGGGAAGAACAAGUGCGAGAGUAACUGCUCGCACCUUGACGGUACCUAACCAGAAAGCCACGGCUAACUACGUGCCAGCAGCCGCGGUAAUACGUAGGUGGCAAGCGUUGUCCGGAAUUAUUGGGCGUAAAGGGCUCGCAGGCGGUUUCUUAAGUCUGAUGUGAAAGCCCCCGGCUCAACCGGGGAGGGUCAUUGGAAACUGGGAAACUUGAGUGCAGAAGAGGAGAGUGGAAUUCCACGUGUAGCGGUGAAAUGAGUAGGAUGUGGAGGAACACCAGUGGCGAAGGCGAGCUCUCUGGUCUGUAACUGAC